This 30-nucleotide non-coding RNA is filed under the name Mus musculus (house mouse). The record is from RNAcentral. Lineage: Eukaryota; Metazoa; Chordata; Mammalia; Rodentia; Muridae.
UGGAAAGUUUAAUCUGAUAUCAAAAUGGUC